Molecule: ribosomal RNA, 253 nt
Filed under: uncultured bacterium
Lineage: Bacteria
Description: partial 16S ribosomal RNA
Rfam family: Bacterial small subunit ribosomal RNA
Source: RNAcentral
UACGUAGGGUGCGAGCGUUGUCCGGAAUUAUUGGGCGUAAAGGGCUCGUAGGCGGUCUGUCGCGUCGGGAGUGAAAACUCAGGGCUUAACCCUGAGCCUGCUUCCGAUACGGGCAGACUAGAGGUAUGCAGGGGAGAACGGAAUUCCUGGUGUAGCGGUGAAAUGCGCAGAUAUCAAGCGGAACACCGGUGGCGAAGGCGGCCUUCUGGACAGUGACUGACGCUGAGACGCGAAAGCGUGGGGAGCAAACAGG